RNAcentral lists this ribosomal RNA (254 nucleotides) under uncultured bacterium. Its description in RNAcentral is "partial 16S ribosomal RNA". It matches the Rfam family "Bacterial small subunit ribosomal RNA", at positions 524 to 776 of the family's 1533-position model. The record is from RNAcentral.
UACAGAGGGUGCGAGCGUUGUCCGGAAUCACUGGGCGUAAAGGGCGCGUAGGUGGUGGCUUAAGCGUGCGGUGAAAGCUCGGAGCUCAACUCCGAGUCGGCCGUGCGAACUGGGCUCACUGGAGCAUAGUAGAGGCAGGUGGAAUUCCGGGUGUAGCGGUGGAAUGCGUAGAGAUCCGGAAGAACACCGGUGGCGAAGGCGGCCUGCUGGGCUAUGGCUGACACUGAGGCGCGAAAGCGUGGGGAGCGAACAGG